UCUUCCUACUCAGCUGCUAGUGAUGUACCGGAGCUCUCUCUUUUGUCUUUCUCCAGGCAAAUAUUUGAUGGAUCAAUCCAAGGGUGACCAGCUGCUUCUCACACCCAGCAGGUAAUUACUUGAAGGACCAAGACAGUGUAAUAUGUCCUUAGUACAAAGCCAAGUGUGAUCAGUUCCUUCUAACAAACAGCAGCUCCGGGAAGCAUUCUGUAUGCUGCCUUCAGCAGCCUGUCUGCCUGUGCUGACCACUUCUGUGAUCUAUAGACUUGUACACCAAGGUACCUUUGUUCCUCAGUAUUACCUCGGGACCAAUCCUUCAUUGUGUAAUUCUUUCCCUUAUUAGACCUCCCAAAAUGCAUUACCUCACAUUUAUCAGGAUUAAAUUCCAUCUGUCAUUGCAGUGCCCAAAGUCCUCAUACUGUAGCCUGAGACCAUCCCCCUCACUGUCAACAACACCACCAACUUUCAUGUCAUAGAGCAAAGAACAAUACAGCACAAAACAGGCCCUUUGUACACCAAGACUGCACUGAAACAUUUAAUACUUCCACAUGAAAAAGUCAUCUGCAGGCAUACUAAUUAUACAUUCACAUCCAAUUGUUAAUAUUUACAUAACAAGCAGCAAGGGUCCCAGCACUGAUCCCUGUGAUACACCACUGGUCACAGGCUUCCAAUCACAAACACAACCUUCCACCAUCAUAGUUUGCAUCCUGUCUGCAAGCUCAUUUCAGAUCCAGUUUGCUUAAGACUCCAAGUGCCAAUCUUGGACCAGUCUUUUAUAUGGGACUUUGUCAAAGGCUUCGGGGUGGCCUGUACCAGGCCAGAUAGAGUAGCCCAUGUCUGUUAACACAAACUGGUAUGUAAGUGUAAAGUAGAAUUAAACAGCAGUUUGUGAAACAGAAUGGCAGGCAGAAUCUAAGCUUUACAGCGCACUCACACAAUAAGGUAAAAUGAUACCAUUGAUAAAGCCAUUCCAAGGACCCAGCCUGUUCCAAUUUGAAACAGUUCUGACAAGCAGACCGAAGGUCCGGUAAAUGAGUAACUCCAGCCACAUUAAAUGAAAGGGUAAUUGUCCCAGUUACUGAACAGACACCAGGUGCUAGUUACAGCCCAUUAAUGCCCAAAACAGCUAAAGGUAUCUUAAAGUAUGUAGUUUCUUGAAAUAAGUUGGAAUAUUAAGAAUUAGGUUCUCGUAA
Molecule: non-coding RNA, 1193 nt
Organism: Chiloscyllium plagiosum (whitespotted bambooshark)
Lineage: Eukaryota; Metazoa; Chordata; Chondrichthyes; Orectolobiformes; Hemiscylliidae
Source: RefSeq, a predicted model, not a curated record